UAAAAUAAUGGUUUGAAUAAUUUUGAAGUUUGCGUGGGCGGGAGAAGAGUGUGGUGAGUGUUUUGUUUGUGCAGAUUCACUCAAAUCGCUUAGUCACUUUGAAAUGGACGAAGAAGCUCCGAUUCUGCGACUGGAAAUUCUGCAAGGCCCUCGCCAAGGCGAAACCCUAGACUUCAAACCCGGAUCCGCUGUCCGAAUUGGGCGGAUCGUGAAGGGCAACACCCUCCCCAUUAAGGACCCUGGUAUCUCCUCCAAACACCUCUCCAUUCUCAACGAAUCCGGCAAAUGGAUGCUCCGCGACCUAGACUCCUCAAACGGCACCGUUUUGGACACUUCACAUAUUCCCCCGAACACUCCCUUCGCUCUCCACCACGACUCCACCAUCAAGAUCGGAGAAUUCACCUCCAUCCACGUCAUCUUUCUCCCUUCCCAACAACAACAACACGCUCUACCCCCCAGACGGAACCCCACGCGCCGCGGUCGAACCGAUCCGGCUCCAGCUCCAGCUCCGGCUCCGGUUCCGGCUGCUUCUCAGCCGGUUAAGAAACGCGGCCGCAAAAAAGGUUGGGGAGUGAAGGAUGGGGAUAAGAGUCAGGUUCAGAGCGUUGAUGAAAACGAGGCGAGUGUAGUGGACGUGGAAUCUGAGUGCGUGGAUCCUCCCGCGAGGGUUACGCGGAAGUCGAACAGAGGACGGAGUGUGCUUAAAGAAUUGAGUGUUGAUAAUUUGAUUCUUGCGGAGAAGGUGGAGGAACAGAAGGAUACGCGGAAUCCGAGAUUGGUUGUGGUUUCUGUUUCCAGUGAUGAUGAUUUGGAUAAUCCGGUGGUGGAGGAACCGAAGCAAGCGCGUCGGACACGGAAUUCGAAGAACACGCGUGGAGUGACUGCGAAAAUUGAGAAUGUUGAGAAGAAGACGAAGAUGGCUGUUGCUGGAAAGAGGGAAUUGGAUAAGGAAUCGAGUGUUGAUAUUUUGAUUCUUGCGGAGAAGGUGGAGGAGCAGAAGAGUACGCGGAAUCCGAGUUUGGUUCUGGUUUCUGUUUCCGGUGAUGAUAAUUUGGAUGAUCCGGUGGUGGAGGAACCGAAGAAAGCGCGCGGGACACGGAAUUCGAAGAACACGCGUGGAGUGACUGCGAAAACUGGGAAUGUUGAGAAGAAGACAAAGAUGGUUGUUGCUGGAGAGAGGGAAUUGGAUGAAGAAGGUGAAGAUGGGAAUGGUGGGAAAGAGGCUUGUGAUGGGAAAGAAAAGGGGAAUUCGAAUGAAGAUGAUAGGAAUUGGCCUGAUUUGAAUAAGAUGACACUUGGUGAGUGGCUUGACUUCUUGGAAAUUCACUUCCCCAAACAGAUAAUAGAUGAAACAGAAGAAAUGUUUGAUUCGAUGACUCAAACAGCUGAGAGACUCCUCGAGUACAUCGCAGAGAGGCAACGACAAAAUGCCAAGGAUAAAAUGGCACUUGAGAGAUAGGCCAAAAUAUACGGUUUGAGGUCUGCUAUUGCAUGAUCUGCACUGGCUGAGGAUCUAACUUGUGUAGGGUUUUAGUUAUGGAGCAGCUUUUCUUGAACCAGUCUAAUUUUUGGAGUUAUACAAAAUCCCUAUCAUUUCUCAUUCUCAAGUUGUCCAAAGAUAUGAUGGACUGGAAGCAUCGGGUAAUGCUCGAGUUAUGAUGCAGAGGAUUUGUUGUGUAAUCAUACCCACCACCCACCAGGUGGAAGAUUAUCAUGCCAUUGCAGUCUUGUAGCGUUCUGCAUAAUUCAGAUGACCCUUUACUUUGAUAGAUAAUACAGAUGCUCUUGAGACCGAGACUCCAUGAAAUUUUAGUGUCAAGUGUUUUAUGCAUCAUGGUUUUAGAGGAGUAUGCAAAACUUAAACGAUCAUUUUGUUAUAGCUUGAUGAUUGUUAUAAAUGAAGAACCUUACAUUUUUUUA
RNA transcript from Vigna angularis (adzuki bean), 1920 nucleotides. It is a transcript of the gene named FHA domain-containing protein At4g14490, with no coding region annotated. The transcript has 3 exons. Lineage: Eukaryota; Viridiplantae; Streptophyta; Magnoliopsida; Fabales; Fabaceae. The record is from RefSeq and is a predicted model, not a curated record.